CGCACGGUGAGUAACACGUAUAGCAAACCCUUGGCCCCCGUUCGUCAGGGGGAUUAAUCGUCGGAAACGGCGUCUAAUACCCCGUAUGAAGCUGGACGGCAUCGUCUGGUUUUGAAAGAAUAUCGGAGACGGAUGGGCAUGCGGCGCAUUAGCUAGUUGGCGGGGUAACGCCCACCAAGGCGACGAUGCGUAGGGGUUCUGAGAGGAAGGUCCCCCACACUGGUACUGAGACACGGACCAGACUCCUACGGAAGGCAGCAG
RNAcentral lists this ribosomal RNA (261 nucleotides) under uncultured bacterium. RNAcentral describes it as "partial 16S ribosomal RNA". It matches the Rfam family "Bacterial small subunit ribosomal RNA", at positions 99 to 354 of the family's 1533-position model. The record is from RNAcentral.